This 75-nucleotide small RNA is filed under the name Xanthomonas campestris. Its description in RNAcentral is "sX9". It matches the Rfam family "Xanthomonas sRNA sX9". Lineage: Bacteria; Pseudomonadati; Pseudomonadota; Gammaproteobacteria; Lysobacterales; Lysobacteraceae. The record is from RNAcentral.
AUGUACCACUCAUACACUCCGGUUUCUGCGCGCCGUCCGCGCCCACUUGGCGACUGCUCGCUACGUUUUUUAGCC